CUGGCCGAACGUUUAGAUCUUCAUGAGGAUGAGGAAGACAACUUUGUUUGGGAAUAUGAAUUCAAGGAGGAAGCAGUGGCGACCAAGUGGCUAGCUAUAGCAAAAGUUCAUACAUCUAAGGUGUUCAGCCCGUCUGCGCUUUACUCUGACAUGAGGUGUGCUUGUAACCCGGCUCGUGACAUCCGGUGGAGGAAUUUUGAUGAUAAUUUGUUCACAAUUCAAUUUGGUUGUUUAGGAGAUUGGAACACGGUGUUGCAUAUGGGACCUUGCUUGUUCAGGAACCAAGGACUGAUGAUAGAGGAAUACGAUGGAUUCUUGAACCGCAAAUCAAUAGUUCUUGACAAAAUUACCGUGUGA
This 357-nucleotide ribosomal RNA is filed under the name Triticum aestivum (bread wheat). Its description in RNAcentral is "partial small subunit ribosomal RNA". The record is from RNAcentral. Lineage: Eukaryota; Viridiplantae; Streptophyta; Magnoliopsida; Poales; Poaceae.